RNAcentral lists this ribosomal RNA (433 nucleotides) under uncultured bacterium. RNAcentral's name for it is "partial 16S ribosomal RNA". It matches the Rfam family "Bacterial small subunit ribosomal RNA", at positions 29 to 507 of the family's 1533-position model. The record is from RNAcentral.
AACGAACGCUGGCGGCAUGCCUAACACAUGCAAGUCGAACGAAACCUUCGGGUCUAGUGGCGCACGGGUGCGUAACGCGUGGGAACCUGCCCUUAGGUUCGGAAUAACUCCCCGAAAGGGGUGCUAAUACCGGAUAAUGUCUUCGGACCAAAGAUUUAUCGCCUUUGGAUGGGCCCGCGUUGGAUUAGGUAGUUGGUAGGGUAAAAGCCUACUAAGGCGACGAUCCAUAGCUGGUCUGAGAGGAUGAUCAGCCACACUGGGACUGAGACACGGCCCAGACUCCUACGGGAGGCAGCAGUGGGGAAUAUUGGAAAAUGGGCGAAAGCCUGAUCCAGCAAUGCCGCGUGAGUGAUGAAGGCCUUAGGGUUGUAAAGCUCUUUUACCCGGGAUGAUAAUGACAGUACCGGGAGAAUAAGCUCCGGCUAACUCCGUG